RNAcentral lists this ribosomal RNA (320 nucleotides) under uncultured eukaryote. Its description in RNAcentral is "partial 18S ribosomal RNA". It matches the Rfam family "Eukaryotic small subunit ribosomal RNA", at positions 1470 to 1796 of the family's 1831-position model. The record is from RNAcentral.
CCCCUAGAUGUUCUGGGCCGCACGCGCGCUACACUGAACAGUUCAACAAGUCUUAACCUUGGCCGAUAGGUCUGGGUAAUCUUUGAACGCUGUUCGUGAUUGGGAUAGACCUUUGCAAUUAUGGGUCUUCAACGAGGAAUUCCUAGUAAACGCAAGUCAUCAGCUUGCAUUGAUUACGUCCCUGCCCUUUGUACACACCGCCCGUCGCACCUACCGAUUGAAUGGUCCGGUGAAAUCUCGGGACGACGGCUUGGUCGCUUGCGUCCGACUGCUGAAACUUGAUUAAACCAUAUCAUUUAGAGGAAGGUGAAGUCGUAACA